ACUACGUGCCAGCAGCCGCGGUAAUACGUUGGUGGCAAGCGUUGUCCGGAUUUACUGGGCGUAAAGGGAGCGUAGGUGGAUAUUUAAGUGGGAUGUGAAAUACUCGGGCUUAACCUGGGUGCUGCAUUCCAAACUGGAUAUCUAGAGUGCAGGAGAGGAAAGUAGAAUUCCUAGUGUAGCGGUGAAAUGCGUAGAGAUUAGGAAGAAUACCAGUGGCGAAGGC
Molecule: ribosomal RNA, 223 nt
Filed under: uncultured Clostridium sp.
Lineage: Bacteria; Bacillati; Bacillota; Clostridia; Eubacteriales; Clostridiaceae
Description: partial 16S ribosomal RNA
Rfam family: Bacterial small subunit ribosomal RNA
Source: RNAcentral